Molecule: ribosomal RNA, 465 nt
Filed under: uncultured bacterium
Lineage: Bacteria
Description: partial 16S ribosomal RNA
Rfam family: Bacterial small subunit ribosomal RNA
Source: RNAcentral
CCUACGGGAGUCAGCAGUGGGGAAUAUUGCGCAAUGGGCGAAAGCCUGACGCAGCGACGCCGCGUGAGUGAUGAAGGUCUUCGGAUCGUAAACCUCUGUCAGCAGGGAAGAACGGUCACUGUGCUAAUCAUCAGUGAAUUGACGGUACCUGCAAAGGAAGCACCGGCUAACUCCGUGCCAGCAGCCGCGGUAAUACGGAGGGUGCGAGCGUUAAUCGGAAUUACUGGGCGUAAAGCGCUCGUAGGCGGUAUGUCAAGUCAAGGGUGAAAUCCCCGCGCUCAACGUGGGAACUGCAUUUGAUACUGGCAAACUUGAGUGUGUGAGAGGAGAGUGGAAUUCCAGGGGUAGGAGUGAAAUCCGUAGAUAUCUGGAGGAACAUCAGUGGCGAAGGCGACUAUCUGGCACAUAACUGACGCUGAGGAGCGAAAGCGUGGGUAGCAAACAGGAUUAGAUACCCCAGUAGUC